GUCUUUGUAGCUCAGAUGGAUAGAGCGAUUCUCUCCUAAAGAAUAGGUCAACAGUUCGAAUCUGUUCAAGGACA
This 74-nucleotide transfer RNA is filed under the name Caudoviricetes sp. RNAcentral describes it as "tRNA-Arg". It matches the Rfam family "tRNA". Rfam says of the family: Transfer RNA (tRNA) molecules are approximately 80 nucleotides in length. The record is from RNAcentral. Lineage: Duplodnaviria; Heunggongvirae; Uroviricota; Caudoviricetes.